UGGUGGAUCUAAGUGGGAACUAGGGGUUCCCUAAGGAGAAAUCCUGACCGCAAACCCCCUAUACGGCGGACAAUGCUGAAGUGAGGCGCUUAGGCUCCUCUCAACCUUUAAUGUAUCUACAAUGAAUACCUGUCCUCUAGGGCUGACGGUUAUGGGAUAGUCUCUUCGCAGGGAUUAUUUCCAUAUUUGCUGAGUGAAUCUGGCCAGGCUCGGAAGAGAGCAACCUAAACUCAGACGAUCAGCGCUUAGAGGGUAGCGGGUAUGAGACCGGUUGUUAAUGGUUCGUGGAAAACCGGACGUCGAUCUUCAGUGGUCCAUCG
RNAcentral lists this signal recognition particle RNA (320 nucleotides) under Candidatus Bathyarchaeota archaeon. RNAcentral's name for it is "signal recognition particle sRNA". It matches the Rfam family "Archaeal signal recognition particle RNA". Lineage: Archaea; Thermoproteati; Candidatus Bathyarchaeota. The record is from RNAcentral.